GCCUGAAUUAAUUGGCUUAAUUUAAAAUUCGAACAGGUGGCUUCAGUUGGUGCCUGUAGCAGGCAGGGGGCUUUCAGUGGUCACCAGCUGGUGACCUGUCAGGACAGUGUGUCCUUAUGUCCUUUCCCAGUGCAUGUUGUCCCCACUCAGCCUUGGUGCCAUGAGGCUCAAGGCCGGCUCUCCUUGGGAAACCUGCUGCCUCAGUAGUGACCACGUGGCUGUUCCAGUUCACUGUCAAAGCGGCUGAAGCAACCUGGUGGAGCUGUGGGCCUGCUGUGAUCACUGACUCAGCUUUCAUUUGGAGGAAGGAGAAGUUUCACAGCUAUGAGGAAACAGUUACAGAGACAAAGCUUGCUGAAAUGAAAACGAACUAAUUACCAUGGAACAUGGUUUUUCUACAAGUCAUUUGGGUGCGAGAGUUAACCAGCUCUUGGCUUUGGGGCCUCUGGUUCUUGCGGCUUUCUGACAGUGUUUUGUGGAGUGAGUGGAUAACCCGUCCUGAAGCCACUUCAGAUGAGCAGGUACAACAAAAGGAAAAAAUGAAGGCCCAGUCUUCUUGGAGGCUAAAUGCCUUGGUGUUCAGUGCUCUGUUGGUAUUAAAUAUGUCUGUCUGCCCUCAAGCCAGCUGUGGUCCCAGAGCUACCUGCCUGAAAGGCUCCUGCCAAAUUGAAAUUGGCAACAACUUCCCCAACAUGUGGACAGGAACUCAUUGCUUAUUUUUCCUGAUGGAUUUUUCUUUUAUUAAAUUGGAUAUGUAAUGAUAAAUAGAAUAUAUUCUGUUUGAGAGGUGGGCGGGAAGUGGGGAAAAUGACUCCAGGAUCUAGGGAUCCUGAAA
RNAcentral lists this long non-coding RNA (835 nucleotides) under Anser brachyrhynchus (Pink-footed goose). RNAcentral's name for it is "lncRNA (ENSABRG00000012840.1)". Lineage: Eukaryota; Metazoa; Chordata; Aves; Anseriformes; Anatidae. The record is from RNAcentral.